CGCUCUUAAGAGCCGAAUCGCGCAUGUAUUUUAGAUGUACGUACGGGGGACGCAUCACAUGGGGUGAAUGCAACGGCUGUCUGCCGCUGGCACUACUGCAGCGAAGCAGGCACCAUGCUAGGGAACCAACCUUCUUCCCGAACCCGACAACUAACCUCGGAGGCUAUGAUCGACAACUGA
This 180-nucleotide small RNA is filed under the name Paenibacillus mucilaginosus. RNAcentral describes it as "c-di-AMP sequence". It matches the Rfam family "c-di-AMP riboswitch aptamer (ydaO/yuaA leader)". From Rfam's summary of the family: This family represents a conserved RNA structure found upstream of the ydaO and yuaA genes in Bacillus subtilis and related genes in other bacteria. RNAcentral also lists the same sequence under 1 other name. Lineage: Bacteria; Bacillati; Bacillota; Bacilli; Caryophanales; Paenibacillaceae. The record is from RNAcentral.